Prunus mume (Japanese apricot) is the source of this 1021-nucleotide non-coding RNA. The record is from RefSeq and is a predicted model, not a curated record. Lineage: Eukaryota; Viridiplantae; Streptophyta; Magnoliopsida; Rosales; Rosaceae.
AUUCGUCUGGCUUACAACAAUUAAUCACAUCCAUCAAAUAUUUAAACUCCAUUUUUAAGGUUCCAUUUCAAGACUUGUUCUUUUUACCCCAUUACCUGUCUAAAUCUAACGCCAGUGCCACACAUCACAUGUUGUGAUUGACUCUCUCUCUCUCUCUAUUCUCUCUUGUCAACCCAAGAGAGAAAACAAGGGCUUCACCCAUCACCAACAAGUUUUCAAGGUGAUUGUUGCUUAGGUGAUGGGCAAGCAUCAACGUUGUCCUUGUGACGGCCAUGAUCAUUCUAACAGCAAUGGAAGAAAGAAGAAACGCCUGCGCAAUCCGAAAAGGGCAUGCCAUUGCUUUGCAGUGUCCUCAAUAUUUAGAGGGAUAGGGAGAUGCAUGUUUGUGACUUGUUUCCCUGUCAUGCGGUGCUUUGGAUUGGAUGAGUGCAGACACCGCCACCACCACCAUCACCACCACCGCAGACAUUUCCACGAGUUUUCAUGAUAUUGGGAUUGACUUUGCAAUAUUUAUUUUGCUGGUGGAGAAGUUUGAAGUUUUGCUGCAUUUUUCUUUUUAUAUUUGGUGUCGGAUCCUCUGAGGAAAAACACGAAUUUGGGCGGUAAAUAUGGGAUCAGAUGCGCCUCAUCAAUCAAUCACCACUUUGUUUGGUUCUUGUGUAAAUAUGCAUGUCAAGGAAGAUCAAGGCUGCAAAAAAACAUCCAGUUUACCUUAUACGGGUGAUUGCACGCACCUGAGAUUUACUUUCAAGGUCUUGUAUCCAAUGAGGAAGUGAAUCAUGCGCGAUGUUUUCCUGGUUAUCCUGCAGAAGAUCAAGGUUGGGGUCCUUGGGGAGAAGAACAUGUUUAGAAAUGUAGAAAAUUUGGGAUUUGGCAUAUGUCAAGGGCUACAAGAGUCCAAAUUCCGUCAAUUUAGAAUCGCUGCAGUUAGGAAUUUUGAUUGUAUAUCCUCAUGAUUCUAUAGCUUUUUCUUUGUAAAUUAUUGAACAACAAUGAUUGAAUUUAGACUCCAAUUUUCGUA